GGAUGAAGAACGUAGCGAAAUGCGAUAAGUAAUGUGAAUUGCAGAAUUCAGUGAAUCAUCGAAUCUUUGAACGCACAUUGCGCCCGCCAGUAUUCUGGCGGGCAUGCCUGUCCGAGCGUCAUUUCAACCAUCAAGCCCCGGGCUUGUGUUGGGGACCUGCGUCCGACGCAGGCCCUGAAAACCAGUGGCGGGCUCGCUGUCCACACCGAGCGUAGUAACUAACCUCGCUAUGGAGUGGCGCGGGCGCCUGCCGUAAAACCCCCAAUUUCACAAGGUUGACCUCGGAUCAGGUAGGAAUACCCGCUGAACUUAAGCAUAUCAAUAAGCGGAGGA
This 333-nucleotide unclassified non-coding RNA is filed under the name soil metagenome. RNAcentral's name for it is "partial contains 5.8S ribosomal RNA, internal transcribed spacer 2, and large subunit ribosomal RNA". The stretch from base 2 to 121 matches the Rfam family "5.8S ribosomal RNA", at positions 35 to 154 of the family's 154-position model. The record is from RNAcentral.